CAGCCGCCGCGGUAAUACGGAGGGGGCUAGCGUUGUUCGGAAUUACUGGGCGUAAAGCGCACGUAGGCGGCUUGGUAAGUUAGAGGUGAAAGCCCGGAGCUCAACUCCGGAAUUGCCUUUAAGACUGCCGAGCUAGCAGGUGAGAGAGGUAAGUGGAAUUCCGAGUGUAGAGGUGAAAUUCGUAGAUAUUCGGAAGAACACCAGUGGCGAAGGCGGCUUACUGGCUCAUACUGGACGCUGAGGUGCGAAAGCGUGGGGAGCAAACAGGAUUAGAUACCCCAGUAGUCCCUGUCUCUUAUAC
This 301-nucleotide ribosomal RNA is filed under the name uncultured bacterium. Its description in RNAcentral is "partial 16S ribosomal RNA". It matches the Rfam family "Bacterial small subunit ribosomal RNA", at positions 509 to 807 of the family's 1533-position model. The record is from RNAcentral.